CUUUUUAUAAUCAGUCAGCCCCUCUGCUUUCUGUGUCCACAAACUCUUCUUGCCAAAUUCAUCUGGUGAGGAAACUAAUGGACAACGGAAACAUUCCUCUGACUGUCCUGCUUCACGUCCUGCCUGCUGCAUAUCAGCAUGAGAGUACUCUCGGUUUCUAAAACUGAGCUGCCUCGUUAUUAACAGGCUCAUUUACCAGGACACUGAGCUAGCAAAUCAGAUGCACACAACUUGCCUGUCUGUGCUGUCUCCAAACUCUGCCUUCCUGCAGGAUGUGCUCUUCCCUCCAAGGUCAAUGCAGGUAACUUACUGUGUAUCGCCUCGUUCUAUCUGGCCGCCUUAUUGUUAAUAGCCUCCUCUGCCCAGGCAGCUGCGCCUGUGAGAGAAGAACAACAUGUUCCCUCCAGGACAGAGCGUGGAGUUAUUUCAUGUCCAAGGAGAGAUAAAACGCAAGCUGCUCUAAAGGCACUUCCAAAUCGCCCUGUAAAAGGAAACUGCAGAGAGACAAGCUGCUGGCAAGACGAGAGAUCAAAGGGUUAUGUAAAGGACUUACUGACCACGCUUCUCUUUCAUCGGGCCAGAUUGUGCAACCUGCCAGGUGCAGAAUACUUGCCGUUUCUAAGGGGUGAGCGAGUAUUACAGAUACGUGAGGAGCGGAUAUCUUCAUUGAAACAACACAGAAAGGAAAGUGGUUUUGCACUGAGCUGCGAAGCGGGAGGGAACAGGUGGCAGAUGGAGAUAUUUCGGAGGGCUGCUCUGACACUUUGUAGCAUGCCAGCGAAAAGAAUUUAAGCUUCGUUGUUAUAAGAGUUGGUAAUUCGCUUUUUCUUCCUUUUUAUUCACAAUUUCCAAAAUGGAAUAAACAAGGAAAAUAGUCAGGUGACA
This 885-nucleotide long non-coding RNA is filed under the name Struthio camelus australis. Its description in RNAcentral is "lncRNA (ENSSCUG00000009082.1)". The record is from RNAcentral. Lineage: Eukaryota; Metazoa; Chordata; Aves; Struthioniformes; Struthionidae.